CUGGCUUACCUCCUCAGUUAUGCGUCAAGGCUUGUAUCGCCUAGAGCGUAUUGUUGGUUUUCUGUAUUGGAUACCUAAUCGAAGGGUAUUAUUUUGAUCGAUCGGAGUCCCUUUUCGUCUUGUUGCAUUUUGUGUCGCAUGAUGAACGUUGAAGCGGUCUCUAUGAUCCAUCACGUUGAUGCACUUGCAUUGAUGUUGUGGCCCAUUGAGCUUUGUUUGGUUUCUUGGAUAUGGAACAUGAAGUGGGCAUGGGGCUGUCAUGAUCCUCUUUUUGCCCUCGUAUGGUGUCUCGAACGACGGGUCAUGCGCGUCUAGGCUCGU
This 321-nucleotide unclassified non-coding RNA is filed under the name Tephroseris crispa. RNAcentral describes it as "partial external transcribed spacer". Lineage: Eukaryota; Viridiplantae; Streptophyta; Magnoliopsida; Asterales; Asteraceae. The record is from RNAcentral.